RNAcentral lists this ribosomal RNA (484 nucleotides) under uncultured bacterium. RNAcentral's name for it is "partial 16S ribosomal RNA". It matches the Rfam family "Bacterial small subunit ribosomal RNA", at positions 30 to 507 of the family's 1533-position model. The record is from RNAcentral.
AUUGAACGCUGGCGGCAUGCCUUACACAUGCCAGUCGAACGGUAACAGGUCUUUCGGGAUGCUUACGAGUGGCGAACGGGUGAGUAAUACAUCGGAACGUCCCUAGCUGUGGGGUAUAACUACUCGAAAGAGUGGCUAAUACCGCAUGAGAUCAAUGGAUGAAAGCAGGGGACCUUUGGGCCUUGUGCUCCUAGGGCGGCGGAUGGCGGAUUAGGUAGUUGGUGGGAUAAAAGCUUACCAAGCCGACGAUCUGUAGCUGGUCUGAGAGGAGGAUCAGCCACACUGGAACUGAGACACGGCCCAGACUCCUACGGGAGGCAGCAGUGGGGAAUUUUGGACAAUGGGCGCAAGCCUGAUCCAGCAAUGCCGCGUGCGGGAUGAAGGCCUUCGGGUUGUAAAGUGCUUUUGUACGGAACGAAAAGCCUUGGGUUAAUACCCUGCGAUCAUGACGGUACCGUAAGAAUAAGCACCGGCUAACUACGUG